Molecule: ribosomal RNA, 497 nt
Filed under: uncultured bacterium
Lineage: Bacteria
Description: partial 16S ribosomal RNA
Rfam family: Bacterial small subunit ribosomal RNA
Source: RNAcentral
GACGAACGCUGGCGGCGUGCCUAAUACAUGCAAGUUGAGCGAUGAAGAUUGGUGCUUGCACCAAUUUGAAGAGCAGCGAACGGGUGAGUAACACGUGGGGAAUCUGCCUUUGAGCGGGGGACAACAUUUGGAAACGAAUGCUAAUACCGCAUAACAACUUUAAACAUAAGUUUUAAGUUUGAAAGAUGCAAUUGCAUCACUCAAAGAUGAUCCCGCGUUGUAUUAGCUAGUUGGUGAGGUAAAGGCUCACCAAGGCGAUGAUACAUAGCCGACCUGAGAGGGUGAUCGGCCACAUUGGGACUGAGACACGGCCCAAACUCCUACGGGAGGCAGCAGUAGGGAAUCUUCGGCAAUGGACGAAAGUCUGACCGAGCAACGCCGCGUGAGUGAAGAAGGUUUUCGGAUCGUAAAACUCUGUUGGUAGAGAAGAACGUUGGUGAGAGUGGAAAGCUCAUCAAGUGACGGUAACUACCCAGAAAGGGACGGCUAACUACGUG